UGCGAUAAGCGUCGGUGAGGUGAUAUGAACCGUUAUAACCGGCGAUUUCCGAAUGGGGAAACCCAGUGUGUUUCGACACACUAUCAUUAACUGAAUCCAUAGGUUAAUGAGGCGAACCGGGGGAACUGAAACAUCUAAGUACCCCGAGGAAAAGAAAUCAACCGAGAUUCCCCCAGUAGCGGCGAGCGAACGGGGAGGAGCCCAGAGCCUGAAUCAGUGUGUGUGUUAGUGGAAGCGUCUGGAAAGGCGCGCGAUACAGGGUGACAGCCCCGUACACAAAAAUGCACAUAUUGUGAGCUCGAUGAGUAGGGCGGGACACGUGGUAUCCUGUCUGAAUAUGGGGGGACCAUCCUCCAAGGCUAAAUACUCCUGACUGACCGAUAGUGAACCAGUACCGUGAGGGAAAGGCGAAAAGAACCCCGGCGAGGGGAGUGAAAAAGAACCUGAAACCGUGUACGUACAAGCAGUGGGAGCCUCUUAAUGGGGUGACUGCGUACCUUUUGUAUAAUGGGUCAGCGACUUAUAUUCUGUAGCAAGGUUAACCGAAUAGGGGAGCCGAAGGGAAACCGAGUCUUAACUGGGCGUUAAGUUGCAGGGUAUAGACCCGAAACCCGGUGAUCUAGCCAUGGGCAGGUUGAAGGUUGGGUAACACUAACUGGAGGACCGAACCGACUAAUGUUGAAAAAUUAGCGGAUGACUUGUGGCUGGGGGUGAAAGGCCAAUCAAACCGGGAGAUAGCUGGUUCUCCCCGAAAGCUAUUUAGGUAGCGCCUCGUGAAUUCAUCUCCGGGGGUAGAGCACUGUUUCGGCAAGGGGGUCAUCCCGACUUACCAACCCGAUGCAAACUGCGAAUACCGGAGAAUGUUAUCACGGGAGACACACGGCGGGUGCUAACGUCCGUCGUGAAGAGGGAAACAACCCAGACCGCCAGCUAAGGUCCCAAAGUCAUGGUUAAGUGGGAAACGAUGUGGGAAGGCCCAGACAGCCAGGAUGUUGGCUUAGAAGCAGCCAUCAUUUAAAGAAAGCGUAAUAGCUCACUGGUCGAGUCGGCCUGCGCGGAAGAUGUAACGGGGCUAAACCAUG
This 1082-nucleotide ribosomal RNA is filed under the name Escherichia coli. RNAcentral describes it as "partial 23S ribosomal RNA". It matches the Rfam family "Bacterial large subunit ribosomal RNA", at positions 67 to 1191 of the family's 2925-position model. The record is from RNAcentral. Lineage: Bacteria; Pseudomonadati; Pseudomonadota; Gammaproteobacteria; Enterobacterales; Enterobacteriaceae.